GAGAAAACCAGCACAAAUGACAUCGACGACGUCAUCUGCAAUUUGUCAUUUUCAUUACGUCAUAAUUUUCUGCGAAAAAUUGAUUUGCAUUUGUGCGUUAGAUAUUUGUGUACACGUGUGUUUGAUUUCGUUUGAAAGUUAAAAACAAAUGGAAUGGAUGCCGAACUUGAGGAUUUGAAAAGUAUCAUCUCAGACCACUUUGGUCGUACCCCAGCGAGUACACCCGUUUGUUUCCAGACAUUGGAGGCGAGUGAGGAGAGCGACGUGGAUACAAGCAGCUACGCCGACAUAUGUCAGGGUUGUGUAAGGUCUAUGGUGAGUGAAAAUAUUGAUGCGAGUGAUGACAAUGAUAGCGACAACGAAGACGAUCAAAUCGAUGGUCGAUCACUGUCAGAAGAUGAAAACCAUGUUUGCAACGUACCAAGCGCUGGCGUACAUGAACAAGGAGAGUGUGACCCUGAUUGGUUGGCUGUAGAGCAUUUCAUGAAGGGAUGUGACAGGCAUUGUCAAAAGAACUUCACACCAUCUUCGGUGUAUCAGUCCAUUUUAGACAUGCGUGAGAAGAGUAAAGAUGAAAAAGAAAUGUUUCUUAUGGGAAUUUUAAGUAAUUGUUUGGAUACCUCUUCUAGCACUAAGAGAGGGAAGAAACGUUUCCGCGUGCACACACUUUGUAAUUAACGGUGCUUCAGUGUGUAGGGGAACUUUUCAGCUGUUUUUUGACGUUAAACGUGCUGAUCUAUAUGCACUGAUAGACAGUAAAUCGGGGCGGCUGUACACUGAGAACGCACGGGAACAGAGGGCGAAGAAAUCCGACUGCCAUACCCAGCAGCCCCAAGGGGAAAAGACAAUAUUUCAAUCGUCUUCCUUCCAUCAAGCACAACAAAGUUGCAUUUACAUGCGCAAUAUAGCUCUGCUUGUGAAGAGAGAAAUAUUGUGCGGUGCGUGAAAAUUUCGGCAUUCAAAAGCAUCUGGUUGCACUGCGUUCCGCACAUUAAAAUUGCAAAACCAAGAGAGGACGUUUGCGGCACCUGAGAGCGACUUCGAAGGGACAUCGUCGGCGCUGUGACAGAAGAUGAGAAGCUACAUGCACUGACAGCAAUGGAGACGCACAUCACUGACGCUCGCAAGGAAAGAAACGUGUACUUAAACUGUGUUCAGAUGGCCGUUUCUGACCCAGUGCGAUAUUGCCACUUCACGUUUGACUUAAGUCAAAGUGUAAGUUUACCACACUACGGCAGACAGAUGGGCCAAAUAUAUUUUAUGACACUCAGAAAAGUGCAGAUCUUCGGUUUCCGCAAAAGUGGCAAUAAACAACUGAACUUUCUAAUCGACGAGAUGUGUUUCCUCUGCACGAACACGUCCAGUGCAGCUGCUCGCUCCUGGAUUAUCUGCAGCACGGCGUGACUACUUGCGUGAUAAUGUGCGAACUCUAUGUAACUAUUUUGUAAAUGACAAAAAACUGUAAAGUUUACGUCAAUAAAACAUUCUGUCUGUCUCUAUUGUCAGCUCGGGCUUCGCGUGUUUGACAGAAUGUGACAUGUUUACUGUUUUAACUGUGCUAAGGGUUGAUGUAACCAGUUAUUGUUACUGUAUAAUGGAUUCUGUACGUUUGUUUGUAUAACAAAAAUAUAUCAACAUUCCGAUUUCAUUUAAAUUAUCCAACAAA
Molecule: RNA transcript, 1666 nt
Organism: Dreissena polymorpha
Lineage: Eukaryota; Metazoa; Mollusca; Bivalvia; Myida; Dreissenidae
Exons: 3
Source: RefSeq, a predicted model, not a curated record